GAAGAAUGACGAAAGAGAAGUGGGGCGGAGCGAGGCGGGGGAUGGAAUUGACUGUUGCUAAGCAACAGAAUAAGCCCGUUAGCGACCGCCCUUCCCUUUUCACCAAUCAAAAGUGCCUGCUCUGUGCCAGGUGAAAAAAUAUCUGCUCUUAGAUGGACAAGUAAAGUCUUGGAAACAACCUUAUGAAUUUGAGAAAUUCAGAGAUUCUGAGUCUAAUCGGGUUGAAGUGGAAUAGCAUCAAGGAAGCAGUCUCAACUACUCCAAUGCUUUUGAAGAAAAGACUACAAAUAAGAAGAUUGGCCUAAGAUUGGCCUUUUUGUUAGCAGAUAAUGCAAAGCUGAGAUGAAAAGAAAAUGCAAAAUUAGCAAUCCUAAAAAUUGCUUUGUUUUUAUAGGGUUUAACUAUCAGUUUAUGUUUUGAGUUGUUACUGAAUUCUAUUUUUAAAUUGUUCCUUAAUGAUCAUAUAUGUAUCUUAUAUUUAGAUAAUGGUUUAUGGGAACAAAUUACAAUCUAUUUCAUACCUCA
Sarcophilus harrisii (Tasmanian devil) is the source of this 525-nucleotide long non-coding RNA. RefSeq lists it as uncharacterized. NCBI's taxonomy places the organism in Eukaryota, Metazoa, Chordata, Mammalia, Dasyuromorphia, Dasyuridae. The record is from RefSeq and is a predicted model, not a curated record. The transcript is spliced from 2 exons.